GGAGGUGAGAAUUGGUGAACAAGGUGGAAGUCCCCUGAAGGGGCAGAGUCAUGGAGCUGUCCAGAGCCUCUCCGCAUGGCUGGGGCAGCCCCUGGAAGAGGUUCCUGCUCACAGGUAUCCUGCUCAGCUUCUGGGGGCCACCCAGAAUCUGCUCAGAUCUUCACCGCCACUGUCCCAAACCGCCCCAUGGAAGGAGAUGACGUGAUUCUGACCGCCCCGAACGCCCCAGACAGGAUCCUCAAUGCCAGCUGGCACUCAGGGUUCCAGCCCUCGGAUCCUGACACGAUCACCAGCUGCAUCCCCACUGCCCAGGCAGGCCCCUGCACCCAGCGCCUAGGUCCUGCCCACACCAGGAGGGAGGCUCUGACAAGCUGGAACACAUUGGGAAUCAGAAACCUCACUCCCUCCGACACUGGCUUUUACUCCCUGGUGCUGAACACUGACUCAGGCCUGGAGAAGGCAUCCCCCUACAUCCAUGUCUGGCGCCCACGGGAGUUUCUUCUAAUACCAGACAUCUCGGCCAACAUGAAUGUUGCUGUGGAGAACGUGGACUGAGUGGUCUUCACCUGUCACACCAAUGAAGCCAACAUCAGGGUCCUCUGGUAUAAUGGCGGCUGGCUGCUGCAGGGGGGAGGGCGACUGCAGCUGUCCAACGGCAACAGGACCCUGGCCAUCCGGCCAGUGACCCGAGGCGACCAGGGGUUAUACUUCUGUAGAGUGUAGAAUGAGUCUGACUACCGGACAAGUGAGACCAUCCAGCUGACUGUGUUCUGUGGGCCUGGAUCAUUGGUAAUGUCGUCAUAUCCAAAACCAUACGAGGGCACCGUUGUGAGUGACCUCAACUACUCGGUGGUCCUGCAGUGUUUGGCUAUGGCAAACCCCAGUCCCCUGUUCACCUGGUCCCUUAACACAACGUGUGUGGGACCCAAGGGGAUUACAUUAUCCGGAGAUUGGCCAAGAAGAACCUAGGCAGUUUAACUACAUGUGCACGGCUCCGAACGCGUGGGCCUGAGGACCUCCAAUCCCAUCCAUAUGUGGCUGCCCGAGCCCCCUUCAGAGGACACUGACACAGGGCACAUCGAGCCCAAUUCCAUCUACGCCCUCUCUGGAGCUCCCACCAUCGUUCUGACCAUGGCAGGAACUUCAGGGAUAGUCACCUUCAUCGGGGGCAUAAUGUACUCUGUGAUCAACAGAAAGGCAUUGAUGAAAGGAAGAAACAGUAAAUGUGGGUGUUUCUGAGCCUGGAAGACCCAUCCCUUCAGCCUAGGAGGUAAAAGCAAAGAUGGAAUGGAGGGAAGCCUGAAAAGAGACAUGGAGCAUAAGAUGUCCUGCCUGGGGAGACCUUAGACCAUGGAAUGUCAGGCCUUAGAACAAGGAGUGUCAGGGCUUGGAGGACCCUGAGAACAGGGAAUGUCAGAGCUGGGAGGGCCCUUAGAACAGGGAAUGUCAG
Non-coding RNA from Phascolarctos cinereus (koala), 1450 nucleotides. Lineage: Eukaryota; Metazoa; Chordata; Mammalia; Diprotodontia; Phascolarctidae. The record is from RefSeq and is a predicted model, not a curated record.